AACAUGCAAGUCGAACGCCCCGCAAGGGGAGUGGCAGACGGGUGAGUAACGCGUGGGAACAUACCCUUUCCUGCGGAAUAGCUCCGGGAAACUGGAAUUAAUACCGCAUACGCCCUACGGGGGAAAGAUUUAUCGGGGAAGGGUUGGCCCGCGUUGGAUUAGCUAGUUGGUGGGGUAAAGGCCUACCAAGGCGACGAUCCAUAGCUGGUCUGAGAGGAUGAUCAGCCACAUUGGGACUGAGACACGGCCCAAACUCCUACGGGAGGCAGCAGUGGGGAAUAUUGGACAAUGGGCGCAAGCCUGAUCCAGCCAUGCCGCGUGAGUGAUGAAGGCCUUAGGGUUGUAAAGCUCUUUCACCGGAGAAGAUAAUGACGGUAUCCGGAGAAGAAGCC
Molecule: ribosomal RNA, 392 nt
Filed under: uncultured bacterium
Lineage: Bacteria
Description: bacterial SSU rRNA
Rfam family: Bacterial small subunit ribosomal RNA
Source: RNAcentral